RNAcentral lists this long non-coding RNA (2296 nucleotides) under Nicotiana benthamiana. RNAcentral's name for it is "long non-coding RNA (NBEN_LNC014252)". The stretch from base 2094 to 2166 matches the Rfam family "tRNA". The record is from RNAcentral. Lineage: Eukaryota; Viridiplantae; Streptophyta; Magnoliopsida; Solanales; Solanaceae.
UCCACUCCAAAAAUACACCAGGUCAAGUUCCAGAAUGUGUACCUGAAUAUGUGAAAUACAAGAGAAAGAAGAAUGAGUCAAUCAGCAACGAGCAGAGAUCAAUGACAACAUCACUAUGGCACUCGAAAACCCCAGAUAAUAGGAGGAAUAGCCCAUAAGUGAAUUCCAACCAGAGAAGAAGUAAUAACAAACAGCCCGGGGAUGAUUAAACCAAAUUGGCUCAAAUAACCAGCUAUGAACCAAGGGAAUAUAACCAAUUGACUUCUAAAAUAUACCCAAAACAGGAGCAAACCAACAAGAAUUGUUAUAAUCAAACUCAAAUAACGCUACAAUUAUCCGGAUGAUUUCAAAAUUUAACUACAAAUCAGAUUGAGCUACCAGCUACCCAAAUCACUUAGAACCUUUCAGAAAAACUGAAAAUAAUACAGGAAACAACUGUGAAACAGUAGGAUAUUUUUUUUUGUGAUUUUCUUUUUUGUUGUUUUUUUUUUGGACUUUUGAAGGUUUUUUUUUUAAUCUAAGGAAAGGUAAGAUCUAAUUUCUGAACUGAAAUUGAACUUUAAAUCUGAAAAUUGAGCAGUAUACUUGGGAGAAUUUUUUGGCUGAAGGAAGAAGACCCCUUUUACAAGGCAUUAGAUGCCUUUUUAUAUGCAAGAGUGAGGACAACACUCAGAUUUUUCAUUUGCACCCACAACCCCUAAUCAUUUUUAGCUUAAAGCCCUUAUUUUAUGACUUGCUCCUCAAGUUAAUACCCCAAGUCUAUUGAAAACUACAUUAAGGUCCUAUUUUAGAAGCCUCUAGGAUGCUCUUUUAGCCCCAAAAUACCCAUACUACCCUUCCAUUGUUUUAAAAUUACAAUUCUUAAAGAUUUUAUCCUUUCCUAUCCCUAAACUACCCCUGAAAACCUCCUAAAUUACUAAUUCUUAUUGAACCUUCAACAACUAUAACCAAUCGCUGAUCCAACUCAAAACCAAUGCCAAAGGACACUAUUAAUGAAUUAAACAUUAACAAUCAAAUCCACGAACUGUAAUCGACCCAAAUUAAUUCCAGAAAAACGAAACAAACAAAAGUUAGUGAGAACGAACUAAAAUCUUAUUACUGGACUAAAUUUCUAUCAAACAUGUAGAAACCAAAUCCCAGUUCAGCACCUCAUAAAUAGAACAAAAGAGGAACCUAAUUUAACUAACGACUGAUUGAAACAAUUAACAUUUGAGCAAAAGAAAAUCAAAAUCACAUCAGAAUUUAAAUAAAGAAAUGACAAUCAACCCUAAACGAAUUAACCUAAACACUUAUGACAAUCAUAAAGACAAUUUGGUGCUAAACUCGACUUGAAACUAGAACUAUGCUCAGAACAGUGAGUCGAACCAGGAACUAAAGAAACGAAAGAGAGAAAUCUUACCAAAAAUUAGUCUUCAAACCAACUGCUUUUGGAAUCAAGCUUUAAUUAAUCUUAUAAGUUUACCUUUGUCAAGGUAAUCUCAUAACAUUAAUCAAAAACCAUCCGAAUUCCUUAAGUUUCAAAACAUGUCGUCAUUCUAAAACCUCAGAUCCGAUAUUUGAGCCUAACCAGGAUGAUGCGAGAAGCACGGCUUGGGUAUUUGGGACGAGAAGGUUAAGGCGGGUCUAUGAUGUAAAUUUGGGAUCAUUUGGCAUAGGUGACGAACUGGCCGGAAAACUUCAAACGAAGAUUCGAAUAACCUGGCUGUGAUUCGAAGGAAGCCAGUUUGAUAUUUGGAAUGAGGAAGAGAAGAAGAAUCUGGGGUGUGAUUUUGUGACGGAUUGGCCAUGGCAGCGUUCCCCGGCGGCUCCGGCUCCGGCUCCGGCGAGGUGUGAAACGGUACGAGGAAGAUGAGAGAAUGUCUCUAGGGUUCUGAUUCUAUUCAGACACUUUUAAGUGAUUUGGGGGUGAGCUGUUUGGCCGUGGCGAUUCUAAUGAAUAAUUCAUCAAUAACGAAUAAAAAAAUUUUAUGCAAUUCUGAAAGGGGGAAAGAUUCCUCGGAUAAAAUCAUUCGAUAAUAUUGACAAUUUCAAAAAACUGAUCAUACUAUGAUCAUACUAUGAUCAUCAUAGUAUGAUGGCGGUUGGUCAAGCAGGCCCCCAUCGUCUAGUGAUUUAGGACAUCUCUCUUUCAAGGAGGCAGCGGGGAUUCGAAUUCCCCUGGGGGUAGGGUACUACGAAAGGAAGUCUGGGGUGUGAUUUUGGGAUGGCUUGGCCAUGGCGGUGACGACUCCGGCGAGAUGUGAAACGGUACGAGGAAGAUGAGAGGAUGUCUCUAGGGUUCUGAUUCUAUUCAGAC